This 30-nucleotide non-coding RNA is filed under the name Mus musculus (house mouse). The record is from RNAcentral. Lineage: Eukaryota; Metazoa; Chordata; Mammalia; Rodentia; Muridae.
UUUGAAGGUUUUCACUUUCUUUAGACUUGC